Long non-coding RNA from Rosa chinensis, 818 nucleotides. RefSeq lists it as uncharacterized. The record is from RefSeq and is a predicted model, not a curated record. NCBI's taxonomy places the organism in Eukaryota, Viridiplantae, Streptophyta, Magnoliopsida, Rosales, Rosaceae. The transcript has 3 exons.
GCUAGUUAAGGCCCAUGAUCAGUAAUAUUUUAUGGUUUAUAUUAUAGGAAGCUGAUUUCUCUUUGGUGAACUAUAGGAAGCUGAUUUCAGUUCUCAUUUUUACCAUAUUUCAUUUUUGUUUUUAUUUUUUAUUUUUCUUUUUUAAGUUGUUGGAUUUGAGAAUCACCAAGCGAGCAACUAAGCGAUUAUCUAAUUCUCCAAAGAAGAAUCUAAAGAGAGUUGCAGACGUUGAACAGCCACAAGCAGCUAAGCUGCAGCGUAUUUCAGAAACAGACCACCCCACCAAAUCGACGGAGAGCGUUCAAGGAGACUGAGGAGGCUUCCAAGGAAGCUGAGUCUGUUGCACUUAUGGCAGAGACAGAUGAGCAGAGUGCAAUCGAUACCGCUCAGCAGCUGCAAAAAAAUGGAAGUAGGAUCCGCAACGAUGGAGAUGUCGACCAUCCUAUAUAUUCUGAAUUGCCGGAAAUUACUGCUCUGCCCAGCUGGAAGAAAUAGAUUGCUGAUGCAUGGGAGAAGAGUUUAAGAAAAUAAAAACGUCUUUCGUUAUGUGCAACUUAUGUUGUUCUGUUUCUUAACAAUGUCUUAAUAAGGAUCGGCAGGAGCCUGAUCCCAAAGGUGUUUUUGCUUCCUUGUUAAUUGGUUUAUGCUUUUAGUUUGAAUUUCAGCAAGAUAAUCUUCUUCCCUCCUUUGAGUUGUACUAGUGCAAAGCCGCGUGAUGCUGCGGGUUGCUUUGCUUCCUGAAUUUAAUACAUAAUAAAUUACAUAUUGGAUAUGCAAUAUAACAGAAGCUCUUAUUAUUUUAUAGAUUGCUGAAUUUC